RNAcentral lists this ribosomal RNA (515 nucleotides) under uncultured bacterium. RNAcentral describes it as "partial 16S ribosomal RNA". It matches the Rfam family "Bacterial small subunit ribosomal RNA", at positions 28 to 523 of the family's 1533-position model. The record is from RNAcentral.
GAUGAACGCUGGCGGCGUGCCUAAUACAUGCAAGUCGAGCGAAUGGAUUAAGAGCUUGUUCUUAUGAAGUUAGCGGCGGACGGGUGAGUAACACGUGGGUAACCUGCCCAUAAGACUGGGAUAACUCCGGGAAACCGGGGCUAAUACCGGAUAACAUUUUGAACCGCAUGGUUCGAAAUUGAACGGCGGCUUCGGCUGUCACUUAUGGAUGGACCCGCGUCGCAUUAGCUAGUUGGUGAGGUAACGGCUCACCAAGGCAACGAUGCGUAGCCGACCUGAGAGGGUGAUCGGCCACACUGGGACUGAGACACGGCCCAGACUCCUACGGGAGGCAGCAGUAGGGAAUCUUCCGCAAUGGACGAAAGUCUGACGGAGCAACGCCGCGUGAGUGAUGAAGGCUUUCGGGUCGUAAAACUCUGUUGUUAGGGAAGAACAAGUGCUAGUUGAAUAAGCUGGCACCUUGACGGUACCUAACCAGAAAGCCACGGCUAACUACGUGCCAGCAGCCGCGGUAA